RNAcentral lists this ribosomal RNA (442 nucleotides) under uncultured soil bacterium. RNAcentral describes it as "bacterial SSU rRNA". It matches the Rfam family "Bacterial small subunit ribosomal RNA", at positions 950 to 1393 of the family's 1533-position model. The record is from RNAcentral.
CACGGGGGGAACGCGAAGAACCUUACCAAGGCUUGACAUGUAGGGAAAAGCCGUGGAGAUACGGUGUCCUGCGGGGUCCUACACAGGUGGUGCAUGGCUGUCGUCAGCUCGUGUCGCGAGAUGUUGGGUUAAGUCCCGCAACGAGCGCAACCCUUGUCCUAUGUUGCCAGCGGGUUAUGCCGGGGACUCGUAGGAGACUGCCGGGGUCAACUCGGAGGAAGGUGGGGAUGACGUCAAGUCAUCAUGCCCCUUACGUCUUGGGCUGCAAACAUGCUACAAUGGCUGGUACAAAGGGCUGCGAACUCGCGAGAGUGAGCGAAUCCCAUAAAGCCAGUCUCAGUUCGGAUCGUAGUCUGCAACUCGACUGCGUGAAGUCGGAGUCGCUAGUAAUCGCAGAUCAGCAUUGCUGCGGUGAAUACGUUCCCGGGUCUUGUACACACGC